UUUUAGCCCUGAUGGAAGCGGCAUCCUUUUCUUGACUUUUUCAGUCCAGAAAAGAUAUAGCGUACAGCAGGAAUCAGC
Flavobacterium fryxellicola is the source of this 78-nucleotide non-coding RNA. The record is from Rfam. Lineage: Bacteria; Pseudomonadati; Bacteroidota; Flavobacteriia; Flavobacteriales; Flavobacteriaceae.